CAACAGCAAAUAGGAAAACACAACGAAAUGAACCUCUUACGGAAAGGGUAGGACCCUAUAAGCAGAGGACGGACCCUUCUGAUUGGACAGGCGGACUGUCUGUCAACAGGAAAUGAGGACUCGCUCGCUUGCUAGACCUUCAUUCCGCGCGAAAAUACGGCGAAAAAAAGAAUGUUUGUCGUCAAAAGUUGUUGGCGAACCAACCGAUUUUUUGCAGUGGUUGUGGACAGAUACUUGGAAAAAGUCUGGAGUCUUUGGCUCAACCCACCGAUGGACCAACUUCAAUUAAUCUUGGCUUGAUGACUGCUCAGAAGGGUGUUUUAAAGCCCUCACGUGGGAAAACCAUUCCCUUAUCAACCGUCUCUGACAUCACCGCUCAAAGUCUUCUUCAUCACAGUGUGAAGAAAAUGAGGGACUUUAACCAAGACCUGGGUGAAGGAGCCUUCAUCCUUCUGUAUCCAGAUGCAUCUGAAGUCAUCAAUACCCCUGGGACACAAAGACCUUUUAUUCUAGAAAAAUAUAAAGCAGAAUUAGGCAAACCAUAUUCAAGGAUCACAAUUUUUAUCUGCCCAAAGACGGUCUUUGAAGAAGUUGGAAAAGUGUCUGACAUUUCUGACUCUGACACAGAGAUUGUGAUAAAAAGAGCCCUCACAACAUUUGAGCUAGCUGACACGUUGCCAUGUGAACCUGUGCAUGAAAGCAGUGCAAUACAGACGAAUACAGAGGAUAUCCGUCCAAGUACCUCCGGAUGUCCUCGAAUGGCGAGAACAUAUUACAGCAACUACACAGACCUGUAUGCGCCUAUCGUCAGUGAUGACGACGACGAUGAAGAUGAAGUUCUAACUGUCAAAGAAAAUAAUGAGGCAUCUCCUAGAACCAAUCAAAGUCAACAGAUUCCACGUGUCCAGAUCUAAUGUAUGGGAUGGUGCUGUCAGAGGUUUUCAGCGUUGCACGUACUCCGAGGAGAAUGACAUGUUUGUGAAGUUUACCGAUGAAGAAGGCCUAGAUACCGGCGGGCCGAGGCGGGAAUUCCUCACGCUUCUGAUGAAUGAUCUGAUCUUUAACGGACCUCCAGCAAGCCGUUACCUGGUGUACAACUCUACAGGUGUCUGUUUUUCAUGGAAUUUCUUUUUUUUUGUCCAAAUAUUUUGAUGAAAGUAUUAUUUUUGUUGUACAUUAAGUCACACUUUCUGCCAAAUUUAAGCACUUUAAAAUAAGGGUUAAGGCUGGACACGACCCCUUUAGUCUUGUUAAACUUUCUGGCCAUAGUCCCAUGAUUUACCACUUGAAUGCUUUAAAAGUGACUGCAGAUUAGAUUGUGUGACAUUCACAAAUGGUAAAGCAUGUUCAGUGAAAAGCUUGUUUGUGGGUUGAGUGUUUUGACAGUGAAGUAGCUCUUACUGAUAGUCAGAGAUUUAAGGUUGAAACAUAUUAUGUCAUCAUUGACAGACUUUGUUUGUGCCCAUCGAAGCCUACACACAUGCGUGUGACUUCUUUGGAGUUUGAUUUGAGGGGGACUGCAAUGAUUGUGAUGUGCGUGAAAGCGCUGCUAAGCUGUGCUCCACUUAUCCGACAGAUCUGGAUAGUUCCUUCUCAGACAAACUUAUUCAGUUCAAGCACUUGACUUCACCUGUACAUCUUCUGCAAGCUCUUGAGAGACAUGGACUUAAGACAACAUUUCCAAAUGUUUAUGUUGCAAUAAGCAUGUUUUUAACCUUGCCUUUGUCUAACUGUGAGAGGUCGUUUUCUGUUUUGAAACGAGUUAAAAAUGAGCUGAGGACCACAAUGUCACAGACACGGCUCUCUGCACGUCGAACAUGAACUUGUUAGUGCCCUUGAUAUUGUACACCAGUUUGCAGAAAAGUCCAGAAAAUGCCACUGUAAGAUGUGUUUGCCAAAUGAAACCAAGCAUUUCAAAUUUAAACAUGCACUUUCCCAUUAUUUAGGAUUAAAAUUGUGUAUGUUGACACAUUAUGUCGCAUUUCUGUAAAUUGUUUAUUGUUGAGAAAAAACAGGCAGAUUUCAAAAUGUUUAUAUUGCACUAUAACUUGAUUGUCCUUGUCCGUGGACUUCCUCUGUGAUGGAUCCAUCAGUUCAAUACAUUUGUGUUGGGAAUAGGUGGUGUUAAAUAAAUAUGGAUG
Molecule: long non-coding RNA, 2141 nt
Organism: Gasterosteus aculeatus aculeatus (three-spined stickleback)
Lineage: Eukaryota; Metazoa; Chordata; Actinopteri; Perciformes; Gasterosteidae
Source: Ensembl